Molecule: long non-coding RNA, 488 nt
Organism: Bactrocera dorsalis (oriental fruit fly)
Lineage: Eukaryota; Metazoa; Arthropoda; Insecta; Diptera; Tephritidae
Exons: 2
Source: RefSeq, a predicted model, not a curated record
AUAAAUGAACUACCAAAUCUUAUCAUUUGGGUUUAAUUUUCUUUAUUUUGUCUAUAUGUAAUAGAACUUCGUUAUCAAAUUGGUUCUUAGCAUUCAGUUUAUCAUUAACUGCCGUGAGUGAUUGGAAACAUAUUAAAUUCUUUUGCUUUUAAUAUGGGUGGUUGUUGCAGUACGAGGAAAUCCGUUGACUUACCAACGGUACCACCCGCUAAUGGUAAACCUAAUUUAAGGGAUUACCCAGCUACCGGGGUUACUACAAUUAGAAAUCCUGGCACAAAUAUCGGUAGCACAAAUUUGGCGUUAGAGGAGGAUUAAUGGAAUAUUGCAUUCGUGAUGAUAAGCAUGAAAAAUAUUGUUUAAAUUUAAGCCUUUAUAUAAGUAUGUAGCUAAAUCUAAAUUUAAUAUGUACAUUAAAUAAAUUAUGUUAUGUUCGAAAAUAAGUGUCCAAAUGUUUAUAUUGGUUUAUAAAUAUAUUUUAUCAAAUACUA